GAUGAACGCUAGCGGGAGGCCUAACACAUGCAAGCCGAACGAUGAAACCUAGCUUGCUAGGUCGAUUAGUGGCGAACGGGUGAGUAACACGUGACUAACCUGCCCCUUUCUCUGGGAUAACGCUCCGAAAGGAGUGCUAAUACCGGAUACUCACAUCGAGGCACAUGCCUUGGUGUGGAAAGUUUUUCGGAAAGGGAUGGAGUCGCGGCCUAUCAGCUUGUUGGUGAGGUAACGGCUCACCAAGGCGACGACGGGUAGCCGGCCUGGGAGGGCGACCGGCCACACGGGGACUGAGGCACGGCCCAGACGCCUACGGGAGGCAGCAGUGGGGAAUAUUGCACAAUGGGCGCAAGCCUGAUGCAGCGACGCCGCGUGAGGGAUGAAGGUCUUCGGAUUGUAAACCUCUUUCAGUAGGGACGAAGCGAAAGUGACGGUACCUAAAGAAGAAGCACCGGCUAACUACGUGCCAGCAGCCGCAGUAA
RNAcentral lists this ribosomal RNA (482 nucleotides) under uncultured bacterium. Its description in RNAcentral is "partial 16S ribosomal RNA". It matches the Rfam family "Bacterial small subunit ribosomal RNA", at positions 28 to 523 of the family's 1533-position model. The record is from RNAcentral.